GACGAACGCUGGCGGCGUGCCUAAUACAUGCAAGUAGAACGCUGAAGGAGGAGCUUGCUUCUCUGGAUGAGUUGCGAACGGGUGAGUAACGCGUAGGUAACCUGCCUGGUAGCGGGGGAUAACUAUUGGAAACGAUAGCUAAUACCGCAUAAGAGUGGAUGUUGCAUGACAUUUGCUUAAAAGGUGCACUUGCAUCACUACCAGAUGGACCUGCGUUGUAUUAGCUAGUUGGUGGGGUAACGGCUCACCAAGGCGACGAUACAUAGCCGACCUGAGAGGGUGAUCGGCCACACUGGGACUGAGACACGGCCCAGACUCCUACGGGAGGCAGCAGUAGGGAAUCUUCGGCAAUGGACGGAAGUCUGACCGAGCAACGCCGCGUGAGUGAAGAAGGUUUUCGGAUCGUAAAGCUCUGUUGUAAGAGAAGAACGAGUGUGAGAGUGGAAAGUUCACACUGUGACGUAUCUACCAGAAAGGAC
RNAcentral lists this ribosomal RNA (479 nucleotides) under Streptococcus pneumoniae. RNAcentral describes it as "bacterial SSU rRNA". It matches the Rfam family "Bacterial small subunit ribosomal RNA", at positions 28 to 493 of the family's 1533-position model. The record is from RNAcentral. Lineage: Bacteria; Bacillati; Bacillota; Bacilli; Lactobacillales; Streptococcaceae.